This is a non-coding RNA of Pelobates cultripes (western spadefoot toad), 477 nucleotides long. NCBI's taxonomy places the organism in Eukaryota, Metazoa, Chordata, Amphibia, Anura, Pelobatidae. The record is from the annotation of a GenBank genome assembly.
CUUAGCUAUGUUAUGGUGUCUAAGAUUCUUUAUACUCCUUGAAAGACUUAUAAUAUUUUUCUGGACUAUGCUGGACUAUUGAACUAUUUUGUUAUUUUUAUUUUUGUAGAGUUAGCCGGAGAGAGAGGAAGUGUUAGCUUACUCAGGCAUGGAUGUACUAUGUGUGUCAUUGAUGUAUGUUGAGUGUACCAAGGAUGGAUUCCAAUGUAUUAAGUGUGGAUAUGACUGGACCAUCGAAAUAGGGAUUUGAUUAGGAGGCAUAGGACGCAAGGUCAUGAUUGGGAUUAUUGCUAGAAUUGCAAACUGAUUAGAAAUGAUCUUAUGAUUUAAUAUGUAAGUGGGCCUUUUCAAACUAAUCAAGAAGUGUUUCCCAAUCCCAGCUAUUUACUUACAUAGUGCAGGUUUUAUAAGUCACUAAUGCUGUCAACGUGAGGGGAUGACAUGUUUACACAGUCAUGGCCCUCAAUUAGAAUUUAC